UCGCAAUGAAUCCUAUGUAACUAUAGUAUGAUUCUUUACUUUUUCAUUAAAGUGAAGUAUUAUUUUUACAUGAAUAUUUGAUAUUUUUACAUGAUCACCUCUCAUAUUAGAGUAUAAUAUGUCCUAUCUUCACGUGUGAAGGGCAAAUGUGGAACUUGCAAAUAUUCAUAUGGAAGUAUCAAUUUCUAGAAGUAAUGCAUCUUACUUAAUAUAUAGUAUUUAAAAUUGGAAUUAUGUACUUUAAAUAAAUUUUGCAGGAUAUAUGUAUAUUACUUUUAAUAAGCUCAUUUGUGGGACGUAGGGGAGAAUACAUACAAUCUCUAAUUAAUUCGUAAAGAGAUUCAUAUUAUGGAAUCUCUUCAUGAUUUCCUUCAAAUUGGGAGUAAUAUAUAAACACUGGCCAUUUUUUGCACAGCUGUCUCUCCCUCCAUUUAUCUAAUAUAUAUAUAUAUAACAGAUUUCAGGAAAGGACCGGCGGGUACUGAUCAGUGGCGGAACCAGAACAAAAUUUGAGGGAAGACAAAAUUUGAGGGCAGUUACCGGAGGUCCGAAACAGCGACGUGUAAGUUGCAGCGGCAAGGGAUUUAAUACUUUCUCACUUUAAUACUUCUAAUCCAUAUGAUGGUUUACCUCUAUUUUUUUUACAUAUAGUAUAUGAGAGUAUGUCUAGAAUUUAUAGAACCUCCACUUCAAGCUUACUAGGCUGCCCAACACAACACUCAAAGUUGUUUUUGCCAAAACAGUCCACUUGGGACUUUUAUCGAACAACUUGUGCGCACUGUUCUAAGCUACCAAUUUCAUGGCUAUUUGUAUAAAUAAAAACAUCAUAAUUAUAAUUAAGCAUACAUUCUCAAAGAUACGGAACCAUGCAACUAAUAAUUUUAACAUACAUAUGAAAUUAUAUGAAAUCAUGACACACAAAAAAAGCAUCCAAGUAUUACUACAUCUGCACAGAAAAAUUUAUAUUAAAGUAAACAAAUAAACAAUCAAAGAAAAGAAGAAUAGAAGCCAAGUCCAAAAAUGUAUAAACUAAACAGAACAAGAAC
RNAcentral lists this long non-coding RNA (1046 nucleotides) under Panax ginseng (ginseng). RNAcentral's name for it is "long non-coding RNA (PGIN_LNC014624)". The record is from RNAcentral. Lineage: Eukaryota; Viridiplantae; Streptophyta; Magnoliopsida; Apiales; Araliaceae.